UGAUAAGUCGUCCGUCCUUAUUCGAACCCACUGAGCAAACACUGAAAAUAAAACCCGUACAUAAUUGAGUCAUUCAGUACGGGGGGGGGGGAUGCUCCACGGUAGGCUACUGCAAAUGUGAUCCCAGAGCGUGGAACAAGUUGUGUAGCACUCGCUGCUGCUAAAAGAAACUACUCACACAGACAUAUUCUCAUCUGCAGUCUUACUGCAUUGUGUUGCUAUAAGCAGAGCCUGCCUGAGUGUCUCAAUGGACACUGCUCUUUUUCCAUUUUCCUCCAGUGCGCAUUUACUUAAUUAGCACAUAGCAACACAUUCUCCCUCCAAACUCUUAAAAUACAGGCGCUGAGUCAGUCGACCUAUUCUUCAAACUAUGAAGCUCCAGGGGUCCGUCUCGCAUCAGCAUUGGACUGCUUUAAAAGGGAGACGUGCAGCCAUAACAGAAUUAAUCAAUGCCAUGAAUAUAAAUUCAAUAUUUUCUGAAUUUUAAUUAUAUUUUUUUUCCGCUUCAGUUCAUGUCCAGAUAUGCGAGGGAAGAAAAUCCAGCAUCCAGAUGUGUGAUGGUAUUAAACUCUUCACCGCGGCAUAACGCUAUCCCCGUAGGCUGCAAAAAAACCCCUCCCCUCUGGCUUCUCCAAGCAAACUGUGCCUUUAAAAGAGACUUGUAAGCCUGCCUCCACAGCUGUGUGAUCCUGAUCCGAUCCAUCGAGCGCAUAGAGGAAGCCGUUUGAUUGUGGAGCAGGCUCCGUCCAUUCCAACCCUGACCACAGACAUGCAGGUUACAGUGUCCCUGUCCGCCUUAUCUCCCGCUGCACCGGCCCGACUUUAGAACCCACGAGCUACGGCCCGGCCUCUGCCAUAGAUAAAGCCCAAAAUAGACCACUCUCGCUGACAGCAGGGCAGCCCUAGAUAAGACUCUUGUGUCCGCAGCUUUGAGCUGCAAAUGGGGAGGGAAGGGGAGGUGCGAGAUCGUCUGCUAGGAGGAGACAGUAAACACAAUAUUGUUGAGCUGAAUUCAUGGGGUUUAGAUGCCAGUGCUGUCCCUUCUCCUUUUCGAACACAGAUAAGGGAAGUUGUAGAAAUGCAAACAAAAAAAAUGGUUUUCUUUUCUCACAGUUGACGCCAUUGAUUGCGUUUAUUGACUCGUGUAGUUGAAGCACCAAUUUGGUGGUCACGGUUCGCAGCGAUAAGAAAAUUACCUUCCAACAUGUGCCGAGCUGGUGUGUGAGCAUGAAAUCACGCCAGUAUGUCUGCAUGUCUGUUAAUGUUUAUGCCUGCUCCCGUAUAGCUUAUCAUUUAACCUCUGCCAGAUGGCAAACUGCAAAAGGUGCAUCUAAAAAGGAGCCUCCGUUGGCACGCAGAAGCCAAUCAAUAGCUGUGUGUCCUAGUAAAUUAGAUCAUGUAGACAAGAGGCAGUCGUCAGCAGAGCCAUCCCAAAGUAACCCUUUGCCUGGUUGUUUCAUUGUCCAUUAGACAAUGGCCUGCAGUAAUUGAAUUGGCCUGUACAAUCUCAGGGCUUGGCCUUCCCUUUUUUGUCUUUGACAGCAUAUUCAGGUCGGAUAACUUUACACGUAUUUUUAGAGAUAGUGUAGUGGUUAAGACCCUUGGUAAUGCAAACACAUGAACCACAGAAGAUUGUCAGAACUCGCUGGUUGUCUUCUGGAUGUCUCAUGAGACCAUGCACGGAAGCCUAGAUAGACUGCUGCAAGAACAAGAAACCUUUUUAGAACCACGACAAAACCCCUAAAACCCUUUUAGUCAUACAUGUAUCACCCGCGUGUGACAUUCUGUGACACAUCAAUAACAAACCUCAAGCUCUCUGAGCUGCAAACUCAAUAAGACAUCUCUGGUUUCUUCUGCUAUUUGAGCGUGUAUAAGUCGGGAGAAGCACUCAUAUAGAAUGCACGUCAAAAAUGUUUUUACAGGAUUGCUGAUGAAGAGUUUGAGAGCUUUCACGUAGUUAUACACUCAUUUUAAGCAUUCAAACCAUGCAGCCUAAUUAGAACAACAUAAAUAUACUCCCCUCCAGUCUCAUUAUGCCAUAUCUUCUGUAUCUGUUAAUGGCAGAUCAAAAAUGCCAUUUAUCUUGUUUUCUUUUUAUCCAUUAGUGCACUCCACUGGAGUACUUAGAUUUACAUAAUUGCAUAAUUACAGGACGAGCACAGGCUGGAAACCGGCAGCUCUGGAAGCUCAAAUUGUCCGACAAUCAAAUACUACUUUAUGACAUGUAUGGCAUUAUUACCCUUGCAUGUACUUAUACGACCCAGUGUAAACACAAAGGCCGCUGCAGUUUCACAAUGUUCAACUCUAUCAGGGCUUAGAGCAAGCCAACAGCAAGCUACUCACGGAUUUUUCAAAUGGAGCAGUUUUUCCCCACUUUAAACAGAGUACUCGUAAAUUGCACUGAGGUAGAGUUGCUGCUUGAUCAAAUAUUUUGUGAGGAGAAAACAUGUAGAACUAUUUUGGCCAUUAGGAUGGUUAUUGGGAUUUUCACAGUCUAGUACAGCAUUGGCUUUAAGGCUCCGUUUCCAUCCAUCCUUGUUGUUACGUUAAUCUAAUCUAUUUACUCAUCCUCGUCCGCCGACAUCCAGGUAGCUGUGCCAAAGCACUUAAAAAAUAUUUUACAGAAUUUCUAAUGCCAACCCAAGACACACACGGGCCAAGUGACCUGUUUCUCACUGUUCUAGUCGCAAAGUGGAAAUUUCCAUCAACAUAAUCGGUACAUUGCACUAAAACAUGAACAACAAAAACUGCUGUCUCAACAAGCAAAGCGGGGAAAGUAUGAGCAGAGUAUUUUUCUUCAGAAUCUCUCUGCGACAAAAACAUCCAGUGGAGUAUGCGGCCAUAAUCCCAUGUGACAUGGGCAGUCAAGGGCAAGGGAUUGGAGGGCUUGGAGAGAAAAAGACGCAGGACGGAAAUUCUGAGUGAGCGGGAAUCCACCGGCAUCCAUUCCAAGCAGAACAUAAUGGAUGGAGCGUGGGACCUGAUCCGGCUGUGGAUGAGCCAGCCCGUAGGUGUCUGAGUGGGCGUUCAAAUGGAUUCGGGGACACUGGCUGAGAAUAACACACUUUAUCCUCACCGAUGGCUUAGUCCUCAAAGAUGUUCCGUGUUCACUAGCCGUGCCGCGCCCCUCCCCACCUCGACGCACCCCACCCUUCCCUCCUUUCAAAGAAAAAAGAAGGUCUUCAUAACAAAUCGGCGGUGUGCCAAAAUCUUGCCGUCUGGCUGGUUGAGGGAGGUUUGGAUGCUUCUCCUUCAGUGCGCCCUAAUCCCAGUGUUGCACAAGCACACUGUUCUACUUCUCGCUUUGAGCUCGGCUUUUAACAACGGGAUAAAAGAACAGAUGAGGAGGAUCGUAGAUGUCACACUAGUGCGCUGAUGAUGAAAAUCAUAAGUUGUGCAAACAAGAAUGCUCUCAGUGGUGAUUCUGGCAGCUAAUAGAUGUUGUGCUCCAAGCGGUUAUGCGCUGCUGCGGAGGAGAAAGGUAAAUGACUCCAAAAACCACAGGGAAGUUGCAAUCUCCACAGAUACCUGGAAACCAAUACGAACCAACAUCUGGUAAUGAAUUAUGGAUGUAGAUGGAACACAUGUCCCGGGUCUGUCGCUUGCCCGGCGAUGUUGUUUAAAGUCUCAUGAAGAUAUACUUCCCAUGAUGGCUUUUGGAAUUUGCAAUGUGGGAUCUUGUGUUCUGUAAUAUACAGUUAUGGAUUAUUCCGAGGCAAUGUAUGCACAAACUACAAUGACAGGUUUUGAAGGAUAUUUUUCCAGCUACAUCUUGACAUUUAGAAAACAUUUUCUUCUCUGGGUUUAUUUCCGAUGUGACAGGAGACCAGGUAAUUAUAAUGUAUCCAUCUCCUGUAAUAACCUUUGUUGCCAGAUAAAUGUGGAGACUGGCUCGUGUUACAGACGAGUGUAGAGAGAGAUAGAGAGACACACCGAGACCGAGCAACAUGGAAAGAGAAAGAUGAAAAGAUAAUUGUCUUUAUGUGCCAAUAUGGGAAGAUUUUUCACUCGUGUGAAGCGCAAAUGAGAUGGCAAUUCUGUUACAGCUGUUGCAGAAACGCACCACAACAUAAGCACAAAAGGCAUCUCCGUCCCAGGGCUUUACAAGCUCCAUGGUCAACCAGGGAGAAAGACCCCACUAUGUUGUGUGUCUCCUAAUAUACCGACGGCAGACAGUAUGAAGCCCAUUAAAGACACUUACACAUUAAAGACCAUGUAAACAUAAUCAGAUGUAUGAAAAAAGGUAAUUCCGCUGUUAAAUGUGAGGAAAAAUGUUGUCCGCACUUGUUUGCGUAGGAAUUAAGUUAAUUUCAUUGCUACUUUAUUUUUAAGAAAGAAUAUAUGUUAGAAAAUAUAUAAAUUUAUUUUAGACGUGCAGGUUUUUUUUUUACAAGAAAAACUAAUAUUUUAUAGUUUGUAUAUUUUAAUGCAAUUAAUUCAAAACACAGAAGGUAG
Molecule: long non-coding RNA, 4455 nt
Organism: Gasterosteus aculeatus aculeatus (three-spined stickleback)
Lineage: Eukaryota; Metazoa; Chordata; Actinopteri; Perciformes; Gasterosteidae
Source: Ensembl